AGUUAUAUUGUCAAAUGUCGUGCGUUCACAAACUCUCUGAAGCUCAAUACUAGCAUAUUCUCUUCAAAGGUUUGGCAUUGAUCUACUUUAAAGAAUAUGCUCUCA
Long non-coding RNA from Ipomoea nil (Japanese morning glory), 105 nucleotides. RefSeq lists it as uncharacterized. The transcript has 3 exons. Lineage: Eukaryota; Viridiplantae; Streptophyta; Magnoliopsida; Solanales; Convolvulaceae. The record is from RefSeq and is a predicted model, not a curated record.